RNAcentral lists this ribosomal RNA (225 nucleotides) under uncultured Glomus. Its description in RNAcentral is "partial 18S ribosomal RNA". It matches the Rfam family "Eukaryotic small subunit ribosomal RNA", at positions 569 to 801 of the family's 1831-position model. The record is from RNAcentral. Lineage: Eukaryota; Fungi; Glomeromycota; Glomeromycetes; Glomerales; Glomeraceae.
AGCAGCCGUGGUAAUUCCAGCUCCAAUAGCGUAUAUUAAAGUUGCUGCAGUUAAAAAGCUCGUAGUUGAAUUUCGGGACCAUCAUGUCGGUCGUGCCUUGGUACGUACUGGCAUUGUUAGUUUCUACCUUCUGACGAACCAUGAUGACAUUUAUUUGGUGUUGUGGGAAAUCAGGACUGUUACUUUGAAAAAUUAGAGUGUUUAAAGCAGGCUCACGCUUGAAUA